GAUGAAGAACUUAGUGAAAUGCGAAAAGUAAUGUGAAUUGCAGAAUUCAGUGAACCAUCGAAUCUUUGAACGCACAUUGCGCCCGCUGGAACUCCGGCGGGCACGCCUGUCCGAGCGUCAUUUCAACCCUCAGGCCCCCCUUCGCGGGCGGGCCUGGUGUUGGGGCCCGGCCGCUACCCUGCGGCCGUCCCCUAAAUUCAGUGGCGGCCUCGCCGUGAUCCCUUGCGUAGUAAUGCACCUCGCACCGGAGAGCGCCGUGGCCACGCCGUAAAACCCCCAAUUUUCAAUGGUUGACCUCGGAUCAGGUGGGAAUACCCGCUGAACUUAAGCAUAUCAAUAAGCGGAGGA
Molecule: unclassified non-coding RNA, 348 nt
Filed under: soil metagenome
Description: partial contains 5.8S ribosomal RNA, internal transcribed spacer 2, and large subunit ribosomal RNA
Rfam family: 5.8S ribosomal RNA (bases 1-120)
Source: RNAcentral